GCCCUCCUUACACCACUUCCUCUUGAAGGUUCCCCAAGAGCUGACAGGUUUGUGUGGACGCCAGUUCUCUCCCACCCGUUGCCCUUGCUGACCGUCCAGGAGACUCGCCCUGAAGCCAGGCACGUCUCCAUGGGCAGAAGUGAGCCUCCCAGGACUCCGCAGGGAACCCACCUGGCUUCCUCUGACCAGUGCCCCUGCCUCACAGAGCAUCGCCCUCUGUCCACUCCCCUCGGGUCUCUGCACUAAGCUCAUGCCCCAAGGCCUAUGAGGACCUGCUGGGGGAAGUGGGUGAGUGACUCAGCUGUCCCCCACCCUGUCCCUUUUCUCUCUGUGUUCCUGGAGCAGCAGUUCCCUGACUUUUAGACUUUAUUUUUUAAAAAUUUAAAAAAAAAUCUGAGGUUCUCAUGAAGUUUCUAACUUUCAAUGGUCAGGUAAGACUGCUUUGAGCCACUGGCACCUUCAUUCCAGAAAACAGGGGCAAAUUUGAAGGGAAAAAAAAAUCCUUUCAGCUGAAUACAUUUAGCAAGAAACUAACCUGAUUUUUCUUUUUUUGCUCAGGCCACCAAGAACCCUGUCAAGAAGCGACAUGCAGGGCAGUGCCCCUGGGAAUGCUUGUCUUGGCCCUGCCCUCUGCUGCUGGCCCCACUCCCCCCUCGCUGUACCCCAACUUCCCAUCAGGAAUGACCCCUUUUCUCUCACCCCACCAUCUUCCCUUUAAGCUCUGCAGAAGCCUGUAGUCUGCAGAAUGUCCUAGACCUACUGCUGGGGAGCUUCCCUGUCCCCAGGCAGGAGCUUCCUCCCUGCUGUGGAGGGAUGCCCACCCCCCAGGUCUGUUCAUUAAUAAGCAACUUUCAUUUUGUCCCUGCUCUGUCCCCCAUGUCCCUCAGCAGGCUCUUAUUAUUGACUGACUGACCCUCUUCCCUUAAAAGUGAGGGAAAUUAGCCCUAAGUUUCCUCUAACUUGCCAAAGAACUAGAUCCUUCCAAUCUAGUCACUGUCCAGAGGAGAUUCCUUGCAACUGAUGUAAUAGGCCAAUUUAUUUUAGAGUCUGAAUAAAUACCCAGCCACUUUGGCAGCCGAGGAGACUGCCUACCGUGACGCCAGAGGGCCCAG
RNAcentral lists this long non-coding RNA (1112 nucleotides) under Marmota monax (woodchuck). Lineage: Eukaryota; Metazoa; Chordata; Mammalia; Rodentia; Sciuridae. The record is from RNAcentral.